This 563-nucleotide ribosomal RNA is filed under the name uncultured Coriobacteriaceae bacterium. RNAcentral's name for it is "bacterial SSU rRNA". It matches the Rfam family "Bacterial small subunit ribosomal RNA", at positions 338 to 916 of the family's 1533-position model. The record is from RNAcentral. Lineage: Bacteria; Bacillati; Actinomycetota; Coriobacteriia; Coriobacteriales; Coriobacteriaceae.
CCUACGGGAGGCAGCAGUGGGGAAUAUUGCGCAAUGGGCGAAAGCUUGACGCAGCAACGCCGCGUGCGGGAUGAAGGCCUUCGGGUUGUAAACCGCUUUCAGCAGGGACGAGAGUGACGGUACCUGCAGAAGAAGCCCCGGCUAAAUACGUGCCAGCAGCCGCGGUAAUACGUAUGGGGCGAGCGUUAUCCGGAUUCAUUGGGCGUAAAGCGCGCGUAGGCGGCUUGGCAAGUCAGAUGUGAAAACUGGGGGCUCAACCCGCAGACUGCAUUUGAAACUGCCUUGCUUGAGUCUGGUAGAGGAAAGUGGAAUUGCUAGUGUAGCGGUGAAAUGCGCAGAUAUUAGCAGGAACACCAGUGGCGAAGGCGGCUUUCUGGGCCACGACUGACGCUGAGGCGCGAAAGCUAGGGGAGCAAACAGGAUUAGAUACCCUGGUAGUCCUAGCCGUAAACGAUGGGCACUAGGUGUGGGGGAUCAUUGACGUCUUCCGUGCCGAAGCUAACGCAUUAAGUGCCCCGCCUGGGGAGUACGGCCGCAAAGCUAAAACUCAAAGGAAUUGACGG